CUGCAGUGGAUUGAAACACAUCAAAAUAUCUUUAAAAACCAUAAGGUCGUAACACCCCUCAAAACAAAAACAACUCGUUGAUACUUUUCAUGGCUGCUAGGGCUACUCAUUACUCUGAAAAUAGACUUAGCCCCGCCCACACACAAAAAAAGGACAUAAUCAACCAUGUACUCUGCCUUUCAGGGACUGUAUUUCAGGGUAAGCAAAUGCUUGAGGAAAGUCGUGUGGUAGAGAACAAUGAGAGUUGGGCCGGGCACAGUGGCUCAUGCCUGUAAUGCCAGCUCUUUGGAAGGCCAAGGCGGGAGUAUCGUUUGAGCUCAGGUUUGAGACCAGCCUGGGCAAUGUAGUGAAACCUCAUCUCUAUCAAAAAUACAUAAAAUUAGCCAGGCAUGGUGGCGAGCGCCUGUGGUCCCAGCUACUCAAGAGGCUGAGGCAGGAGGAUCGCUUGAACCUGACAAGUUGAGGUUGCAGUGAGCCAAGAUUGUGCCACUGCACUCUAGCCUGGAUGACAGAGAGAGACCCUGUCUCAAAACAAACAAACAAAACCAGAAACAACAACAACAACAACAAAAAACAACAAGAGCUAAUAAGCACAGAAAGAUUGACGGAAGUAGAAAAUCACUAUAGUAACGAAACAAUAAUCUGGGCUUUGCUCAUCAGCAGGCAGUAAAGUCAUUCGGCAAGAGGGUGAUAGGGAACUUUACGACGGAGGUCAGACUGAUACCCUAAACUCACUAAUGAACAAAAAUCACUAAAAGUGGGGUAACUGAACUUUAUGUUCUUGACGUGAUGCAAGAGAAAACAGAAAAACACCUUCAAAGUAUUCCUGCUAAGGAUCUGCACCUGAAUUGAUUCAAGCCUCUUGACCUAGUACUUAUUUAUAGGUAUAGAAGAACAUGUUAGAUGACACUUGGAAGAUGCAAUCAGCCAAAUCCAGAAUAUGGAAAAUUCUACGGGACAAAUGACCCAGUUUCAAUAAGUAACUGGCAUUUAAUAAAGGGAGUUGCUGAUUAUUACAGAUGAGGAGACUUAAGAGAAACCCUGUGGGUCCUGAUUUGAAUAAAACCAUUCAAAGACAUCUUUGAGCCACCUGGAGGACAGUCAGCAUGAACUAGGUGAACUCUACUUUGAAGUAACAAGUCACUGAAUCACAAAUUCAGAGGAAGCAUGAGAACAAGGUAUUCCAGGCCGGGUGCAGUGGCUCAUGCCCGUAAUCCCAGCACUUUGGGAGGCCAAGGUGAGCAGAUCACUUGAGGUCAGGAGUUCGAGACCAGCCUGGCCAACAUGGCAAAACCCCAUCUCUACUAAAAAUACAAAAAUUAGCUGGGCGUGGUAGUGCUUGCCUGCAAUCCCAGCUACUCGGGAGACUGAGACUGAGGAAUUGCUUGAACCUGGGAGGCAGGGGUUGCAGUGAGCUGAGAUUGUGCCAUCGCACUCCAGCCUGGGUGACAGGACGAGACUCUGUCUCAAAAAAAAAAAAAAAAAAAGAACAAGGUCAAAGUUUCUACUGGGAUAAGACUUCAAGGAAACCUCCAUUUCAAAAGAUUAAAAUGUUUAUUUCCCCAUGAAGACUGGGUAUCUCAUGUAAUGUAAUACUCAAAUUUCUGUCUCAGACCUAAAGGUGUUGAAAGUAUGAGCGAGUUUACACAACACCUGAGCAGGAGCAAAUAAAACUCUUAAGAGCUUCUGAAAGAAAGUUACAGAUUAGAGAUAUUUUCAUCUCUAAAUCACAUGAAUUAGGAUUGGCUGGGUCUUUCCACUUAAAACUUGGAGAAGUCAUAAAAAGAAAUCUUGUAAAGAACUCCAUGUCACUAUUAGCAGAAACAUGCAAUUUAUAAAAUGAUAUCUUUGGCCAGGCGCGGUGGCUCAUGCCUGUAAUCCCAGCACUCUGGGAGGCCGAGGCGGGCGGAUCACUUGAGGUCAGGAGAUCGAGACCAUCCUGGCUAACACAGUGAAACCCUGUCUCUACUAAAAAUACAAAAAAAAUUAGCCGGGCGUGGUAGUGGGUGCCUGUAGUCCCAGCUACUUGGGAGGCUGAGGCAGGAGAAUGGCGUGAACCCAGGAGGCGGAGCUUGCAGUGAGCACUCCAUCUCAAAUAAUAAUGAUAAUAAUAAUAUCUUCACCUUUCAGUUUUUAAAUUGCAAGUCCCAUGUCCCGGGAAUUCCCCGGUCCUGGGCAAAGUGGGAUGGUUGGUCACCCAACCUAUAUGGAUGCCCAUUGAUAUUAAAAAAUAAAAGUAAUCACAAUAGACAUGAGGGAGAGAGUUGUGUACAGUGUGAGUGUACAGAAUAAAAGGUCUGGGGGGUUUAUACCAAAAUGUGCACAGUGGCUACCUGGAGGAGGAGGGUUAGACAGGAAUAACAGCAAGGAGACUUUUGCACGGUGCUGAGUGACUUUUUAACUUGCAUAUUAUUUUGGAAUGCAUUUUUUCAACAUUGAAAGAAAGUCAUGUCUUCCUAGAAAUAUAGGAUAUAGGACCACUACAAACGCUUUACUCUUAGUCUCCUUUUUUUCUUUUUCUUUUCUUUUUUUUUUUUUUUGAGACAGAGUCUUGCUCUGUCAGUCAGGCUGGAAUGCAGUGGCGCAAUUUUAGCUCACUGCAACCCCCACCUCCUGGGUUCAAGCGAUUCUCCUGCCUCAGCCUCCCAAGUAGCUGGGAUUACAGGUGCCCAUCACCACAUCUGGCUAAUUUUUAUGUGUUUAGUACAGAUGGGGUUUCGCCAUGUUGGCCAGGCUGGUCUCGAACUCCUGACCUCAAGUGAUCCACCUGCCUCUGCCUCCCAAGGUGCUGGGUGGCAUGAGCCACCGUGCCCAGCCUUAGUCUGCUUUAAAAAAAAAAAAAAAAAAAAAAAGAACAACCAUUUGAGGAAACAGAAACAGAAUACUAUUCCUUAAGACAGUAGCUUUGGAGGCAAAAAACAGAAUUGUUUAUAAAACGUUGUGGAACUUAUAUGGGAGCAUGUCCAGGGAUCCACACCACCAUUUAUAGAAGCAAAGAAAGGCCCUUCUCUUUCAUCUGCGUUACAUUUCGAGCUCUUCUGAUUAGCUUCCUUCAAACAUGACGGGAGUCGUUUUUCCCCGGGGACCCCAAGUGCAUGCCUUCAGACAGGGUCUGCUCUCACUAUACAUUGGGUUCGAAUUUACCUGGACGUUGGCAGAAUGGUCCGGACCCCGGGGAGGGGCGAGCUGACUUACCACUUUAUUCCUGCCGCUUUUCUCUUGCCAUGUCCUCCCCACCGUGCAUUCAGGGUUACAUUUUCCAGGUUCCUUGUUUGCUGAGGGCCUGAAUCUAAGCCUGCUAGCUGCUUACUCUGGGGACUGCAAAUGUCACUUUUAGAUUAAUCAGCCCCUGCUGUUUAAAAAUAUCCCUGGAGCACUUAACCUUCAAAGCAGCAACAACCCGGGGCAAAGAUGAGAAAGAUCCCACGUCAAACCACUUGUGCAGCCCUGGCUACUCCUGGGAGAGUUCUGCUAUCUGCCUUUUAAUCCCAUAACUCGCUUUAUUUCAUAAUUCUUAGCUGUUGAAGCCAUGAGGCAUCUAAAGUCCAUGUUGUCGUAAGCAGUAGGCAGAAAGUCAUCUGGGCCCUCCUGUGACAUGCUGAAAAUUAACUGCCUACAGGUGUUGGUCAUUUGAGAAACAAGCCCCCAUUGAAAACCGUGAAUGGGAAGGUGAUCGCUAUCAGGUCACCUGGCUUCUCUCCCCUGAAAAGAUUUGGCGAAACCCUCUCAAAUCACGCCACUUAAUGGAAUGUUUCCAAUUUCUUGUGACUUGGGGAUAAAAGAAAAAAACAGCUCCAUUGCCACAUUCUCAUUCAGGGUUGACUGGCUCUUGCUAGGGUUGAGCACAGAAGAGGAAAUUCAGCACACGCUGCAGUUACAUAGUGUUCUGCAACGUGGGGAGGGCUGGCAUGUGGGACAAAGGUCGCCUCCAAGGCCCAGCUGGAGAAGCCCAGCCAACUAGGCAGCAGGAAAGUGGAGACCACAUAGGAGCACAUUGUGCUCAGGCAACAGGGAAGGUGGAACCCACUUCCUGCCAACAAUGAUGGCCUUACUAAACAGCAAGUGGAGAAACUGGCGAGAGCGCUGAGCACGGGAUCUGUGCAAAAUGGUUUAAAUGGAAAUUGCUGCUGGGGCUGGUGCAGCCUGUUCACAGCUACUUUGUUUCUGGGCUUAUUUUGCAAUAAGGAACAGUCAUUGAAUAUUGGACUUCUUGGGAUUUUCUCCACUGGACUUGGAAGCAUGUGCUCUGGAAACCUCAGCAUUAUCAGCUGUAACCCCACAGCACCAGGUACAUGUUACAGGAACCGGGGUGAAGGAAUGCAGGUCAAAUGCCUGCACAAUGCCCGGCCCGAGUCAUAUGUUCUCUAGCCACAGUAGCCCUUGUGAUGGCUCUUAGUCUAUUUAUUAAGACAAUAAAAGAGGUGACUCUCAAACAAACCUAUGUUUCCAGGGAGAGCCAUCUGUGAUUCAAGGACAUUUUUAUAAAAUUCCAUUGAAAAAAAUUCUUAGGCUUCUAACUUCAUGAAAAAAAAAUUCUUUCCCAGUGAUUCCAAAUAAUCAUGAUCUAGGCAGGGUGUUGACAGUGGCAGGACUAUUAGGCUUUGAAAUCAAGCUGAUGUGGGUUUGAAUCCUCCCUCCAUUAGCCAUGACUUUGAGCAAAUGGCUGAGCUUCAGUGUCCUCAUCAACUACUUCACCAUAUGGGUGAGAAAAUGAAAUGAUUUAUAUUGAGUUUCUGGCACAGGGGCUUGCUCAUGACAAGCACUUAAUAUCUUUCUAAUGAAAUUCAUUACUUGCAAAAAGACUAGACAUACCCACACAUACAGGUGAAGAACUCUGCAGUGAUUCAGUUCUCCCUAGACACUAUCUCUUUAAGACACAGGUAUUUUCCAGAAUAUAAUUGGAAGGCUUGAAACCAAAGUUAUUCAUAAACUCUUUCCAUCAAACACAAGAACGGUAAUAGAAAUAUAUUUCUUCAAACAGCUGUUAGUUUCAGAAAGUCACAGGUAUCAAGUUACAUUUUUUGUUUUGUUUUGUUUUGUUUUAGAAAUAGGAUCUUGCUCUGUUGCCCAGGCUGGAUGGAGUGCAGUGGCAUGAUCAUAGCUCACUGCAGCCUCGAACUCCUGGGCUCAAAUGAUCCUCCUGCCUCAGCUUCCCAAGUAGCUAGAACUACAGGCACACACCACCCCUGGCUAAUUAAAAAAAAAAAAAUUUUUUUUUUUUAAAGACAAGGUCUCAUUAUGUUGCCCAAGUUGGUCUUGAACUCCUGGCCUAAAGCGAUCUUCUUGCCUUGCCUCCUAAAGCACUGGGAUUACAGGUAUGAGCCACUGUACCUGGCCCAAAAAAAAUUAUUAAGUGACCACAUGGUCUAACAAAACAAGGCACCUGGAAAGAAAUCACCAGUCCUGCUGCAAACCGGACCCUCUGUGAGAAUUCACAUGCCUUCCCCCACCAAUUAAAUCAGAAUUUCCAGGGAUGGGGUCUGGCUUUGCAUGUUUUAGCUUCUCUAGGCUGGAGGAGCACUAGCUUCUUGUUGGAAGGCUCCCUACCUUCCUCUCCCACACCCUCACCCCAAACAUCAUUAAGAGAGACAAAAGAACAUGCUAUAUACACAACUAACAAGCAGAGAACAUAAAUUAUUGAUCUCCUGGUCUGCUCCGCUCACCAAUAUUUAUAUUUCCAAGCAUAUUUCAAAAACUUAAAAACUGGUUCCCUAGCCUGGGCAACUUAGCAAGACCCCAUUUCUAUUAAAAACUUAGCCAGGUAUGGUGGUGCAUACCAGUGGUCCCAGCUGCUCAGGAGGCUGAGGCAGGAGGAUCACCUGAACCCAGGAAGUUGAGGCUGCAGUGAGCCAUGACUGAGUCACUGUACUCCAUCUUAAGAAACAGAGUGAGACUCUAUCGCAAAAAAAAGAAAAAAAAAUUGGUUCCCAUUGACUUAAACUACAAAGGAACUUCCUGUUGUCAGACCCAAAUUACAGUGUCAGAAGGACUCUAAACAAGGAGGCCAUCUCCAGCAGAGGAAUGUUCUAGCUUUCCUCAGCUUGAGUCAGCACAAGUCAGCAUGUGAGGUCUUUUCAAAGUAACCCAGAGCACCUCCCUGCAACCUGUUUUUCCUUGCAAAUCUUGAAGGUUUGGCAAGGAUGAAAAGCCAACACCACACGCAUACGCCAAAAAGUUUGCUUCUCCACCAAACAUACUUGCGAAGACUUUUAUAUGAGAAGCAAACUGAAGCAGAAAGUGAAUUUGAACAGAGAUGUAUUAUCUAAUAAUGCAAGCAUACUAGCAACAUGCUAAAGUCUAUCUUUAAAAAAUGCAAACAAUUUAUAGUCCCUGACCUUCCCCUGCUGGAUGUAGAUCAAAAGCAGGCAGUGACUUUCACACAAUUAAUUAUUUUAUAACUGGACGUUUCCAGUACAACAUUUGCUAAUAACUGACUUCCUUGUGUUACCAAUUCCAAAAGCUGUCAGAGAUCUCCCUAACUCACCUGAAAAGGGAGGAAACAGGAAUCAUUAGGCCAGGUUCUCAGAAGCCUCCCAAACCUUGCCACGUGGAACCAUCCAGCUCCACAUCCAG
Molecule: long non-coding RNA, 6573 nt
Filed under: Homo sapiens (human)
Lineage: Eukaryota; Metazoa; Chordata; Mammalia; Primates; Hominidae
Description: HSALNT0194655
Source: RNAcentral